AACGAACGCUGGCGGCAUGCCUAACACAUGCAAGUCGAGCGCCCCCGCAAGGGGAGCGGCAGACGGGUGAGUAACACGUGGGAAUCUACCCCAUCUCUACGGAACAACCCAGGGAAACUUGGACUAAUACCGUAUACGCCCUUCGGGGAAGAUUUAUCGGAGAUGGAUGAGCCCGCGUUGGAUUAGCUAGUUGGUGGGGUAAUGGCCGUACCAAGGCGACGAUCCAUAGCUGGUCUGAGAGGAUGAUCAGCCACACUGGGACUGAGACACGGCCCAGACUCCUACGGGAGGCAGCAGUGGGGAAUAUUGGACAAUGGGCGCAAGCCUGAUCCAGCCAUGCCGCGUGAGUGAUGAAGGCCCUAGGGUUGUAAAGCUCUUCACCGGUGAAGAUAAUGACGGUAACCGGAGAAGAAGCCCGGCUAACUUCGUGCCAGCAGCCGCGGUAAU
This 447-nucleotide ribosomal RNA is filed under the name uncultured bacterium. RNAcentral describes it as "bacterial SSU rRNA". It matches the Rfam family "Bacterial small subunit ribosomal RNA", at positions 29 to 524 of the family's 1533-position model. The record is from RNAcentral.